UCAUAUCUGCCUCAAUUGUACCAACAAAGAAUAUAGAGAUAAGGAAGAAUACAAAUAUCAAAAGUAUGAAGAUUAACGUUGCAAUACUCGUUCUCAUCUUGUUUGUUACAGCUGCAGAGAUGACGGAUGCCAUUAGAGAUGUCGUCCCAAUGGAGCCAGAGCCACCAGGUGCGCAACCUACCAACGCUGGCAUGAAUACAACUGUUCACCAUGGUAUUCAAGGUGAGGAACCAUCACCAGGGAUAGCUGAGGCCGACAACGUUGAUCACUACAAUGUUCAAGGUGAGGAACCGUCACCAGGGAUAGCAGAGCUUAAUAACAUUGAUCACCACAAUAUUCAAGGUGAGGAACCGUCAUCAGGGAUAGCGGAGCUUAACAACGUUGAACACCACAAUGUUCAAGGCGAGGAACCAUCCCCAGGGAUAGCCGAGCCUGUCAAUGUUGAUCACUACAUUGUUCAAGGUGAGGAACCAUCAUCAGGGAUAGCCGAGCUUGACAACUCUAUUCACCACAGUUUUCAAGGCGAGGAACCGUCACCAAGGAUAGCUUAAGGUCGAACUAGCCGUCACACCACAACUCAUCAUCAUAUUGUUGUAGUGUAGAUCGAGCCACCGAAACCUAAAAAAUCAGGUAAGUUAUGUGGAUAUAAAAAUGACGAUGUUGAUAAGAAUUUAAAAAGGAAAUAUUCUGAGAUAUAGAAAGGGAAAUACAAAAUUAAAAAGAAUGAUAAUAACAUAAACUAAAUUUUCUAAAAAUUCUUUUCCCAUUAAUUAUCCAAUCACCCAAAAGGAAAAAAAAUUUAUAAAAAUUAUCUACUUAGAUUAAUUUACCAUAAAAUACAUAAUUUCUAUAUUGGUCGGUGGAUGAAAAUUUGGAAACAAAAACUACCAUAUAUGAAAUUCAAAUACCAAAUCAUUAGCUAAGAUAAUAUUUAAUGAGAAGUUGUUAAUUGAAAAGGCUGGCGUAGAAUACUUUUGUGCAUUAACUUAAUUAAUGAAUAACUUUGGUAAGUUUCAUUUUUCAACUACCUACUUGGUAGGUAGGAUCUCCCUGGAUUGGUUAUUUCAAAUUAUAUAUACCCCCAACUAUCACAUAACCACAAUCAUAUCUGCCUCAAUUGUACCAACAAAGAAUAUAGAGAUAAGGAAGAAUACAAAUAUCAAAAGUAUGAAGAUUAACGUUGCAAUACUCGUUCUCAUCUUGUUUGUUACAGCUGCAGAGAUGACGGAUGCCAUUAGAGAUGUCGUCCCAAUGGAGCCAGAGCCACCAGGUGCGCAACCUACCAACGCUGGCAUGAAUACAACUGUUCACCAUGGUAUUCAAGGUGAGGAACCAUCACCAGGGAUAGCUGAGGCCGACAACGUUGAUCACUACAAUGUUCAAGGUGAGGAACCGUCACCAGGGAUAGCAGAGCUUAAUAACAUUGAUCACCACAAUAUUCAAGGUGAGGAACCGUCAUCAGGGAUAGCGGAGCUUAACAACGUUGAACACCACAAUGUUCAAGGCGAGGAACCAUCCCCAGGGAUAGCCGAGCCUGUCAAUGUUGAUCACUACAUUGUUCAAGGUGAGGAACCAUCAUCAGGGAUAGCCGAGCUUGACAACUCUAUUCACCACAGUUUUCAAGGCGAGGAACCGUCACCAAGGAUAGCUUAAGGUCGAACUAGCCGUCACACCACAACUCAUCAUCAUAUUGUUGUAGUGUAGAUCGAGCCACCGAAACCUAAAAAAUCUAUCGUUAAUUUACAAGUGUCAUGCACACAGUGAUAUGCAUUUGUCAAUUUGGUAGAAAUAAACAACAUUGGUCGGCAAAAAUUAUUGUGUUCUAUGUCGGUUAUUAUAAAAUGGUCAAUCAUAUAUUUAUUAAAAAUGACAAUGAGAUCUAAAUCUAAUAUUUUUAGUUAUGAUUAUAAUUUUACUUGUUCG
RNAcentral lists this long non-coding RNA (1923 nucleotides) under Linum usitatissimum (flax). Its description in RNAcentral is "long non-coding RNA (LUSI_LNC007308)". Lineage: Eukaryota; Viridiplantae; Streptophyta; Magnoliopsida; Malpighiales; Linaceae. The record is from RNAcentral.